This 481-nucleotide non-coding RNA is filed under the name Enterobius vermicularis (human pinworm). RNAcentral's name for it is "Bacterial large subunit ribosomal RNA". It matches the Rfam family "Bacterial large subunit ribosomal RNA", at positions 1 to 521 of the family's 2925-position model. The record is from Rfam by way of RNAcentral. Lineage: Eukaryota; Metazoa; Nematoda; Chromadorea; Rhabditida; Oxyuridae.
GGUUAAGCGACUAAGCGUACACGGUGGAUGCCCUGGCAGUCAGAGGCGAUGAAGGACGUGCUAAUCUGCGAUAAGCGUCGGUAAGGUGAUAUGAACCGUUAUAACCGGCGAUUUCCGAAUGGGGAAACCCAGUGUGAUUCGUCACACUAUCAUUAACUGAAUCCAUAGGUUAAUGAGGCGAACCGGGGGAACUGAAACAUCUAAGUACCCCGAGGAAAAGAAAUCAACCGAGAUUCCCCCAGUAGCGGCGAGCGAACGGGGAGCAGCCCAGAGCCUGAAUCAGUGUGUGUGUUAGUGGAAGCGUCUGGAAAGGCGCGCGAUACAGGGUGACAGCCCCGUACACAAAAAUGCACAUGCUGUGAGCUCGAUGAGUAGGGCGGGACACGUGGUAUCCUGUCUGAAUAUGGGGGGACCAUCCUCCAAGGCUAAAUACUCCUGACUGACCGAUAGUGAACCAGUACCGUGAGGGAAAGGCGAAAAG